AGUCUGGAAUGCAUCAUAAGCUAAAGGCUUUGUCAUUUAGGCUUUAAAGGCAGUUUCUUCAGUAAGGAUCAGUAAUAUUUUGUUUGAAAAUCAGGGUAAAUGAACUAGAGUGGGAGAAGAAUGCAUUUGCUUUUGUUUCCAUCCAGGUCUGCGGUUGCUACUGUGCCUGCUUUGUUUUGGUCUAAUAGUAAUUUGUUUCAUUUUAACCUUGUGUGGAGUUCUUGUUCCAAACUGCACCAAAUAUUGUGAAAUACCAAAGCAACGGGAAGUGCAAAUAAUGAAAUUGGGAACUUGGGAGGAUGGCCAAGACAUGACCAGAGUCUCCACAAGUAAAGGAUGAGGAACUUGCCCUGAAAACUUGCUUCAGGAUGAGGUUUCUGUGGAGACUUGAACACUUUUUGGUUGUGCUUGAAUAGGAAAUGCCUUGAGAACAGCUUUUCCUGUGGUCUUAUCUCAGGCUGAAGUACAACGAUCCAGAACCUGUUUUAAAAUCUUUAACUGAACUUUAAAAACCUCAGCACAAGAAAAGUGGGUUUGGUUCAAGUGCUGAGAACAGGCUCAGACCAGCUUUCACUACCCAUAGCCAUCUGCCUAGUUCUAUAUAUUACAGAGGAUUUUUUCAAGUGAUAUAAAUGAGAACAGCCUAUAAGUUAAAUAUGAAGAGAAAACUUCUUAACUUUUAAGACUUUCUCUUCCCACUUUAAUCUUCCACUUAAUGAUGGCUGAAAAAAAGAAAAAUAUUAAUAAUAGCUGUGUCUUUUAAAUCAGAUCAAUGUGUUCAUGUUAUAGUCAGGUUUCUAAGGCUACAUAACAGCUGUCCAUACAUGAAUAUAUCCCAUGCUGCCAUGGCAUUCCUAAUCAAGUUUUUCCUUUCCUAAUCAUGUACUUCCCACAGCUUUUUCACUGCAUGGUCCUAUACAUGUAUGUAAAAAAUGUAUGGCAGUUAAAGCAAUACAUGUUGUUCUGAGGGGUUUUUUUGGUUCAAAUUAUUGAAAAGGACAGAAGUCGUCAGUUGUGCAAAUAUAAAGAAUAUCUCUUCAUAUUAACCUAAGAUUUCAAUAUGUAGUAAUUGAAAAAUUACACCUUCAAAAACUUAAAAUAUUGAAUAACUUGUAUGUUUUCCUCAUUUUUAAGAAAGAGAGAUUUUGGUAUUCAGUCCUUCUGUAAAGCAUGUCUCAGAGUUGGCUUUCGCCUGAGUGGUGGUGGUGUAAUUAUUCUCUAGGGGGGAAAUGCCUUGAGUCAAUAUAUGAAAGGAAUGGAAUAGACAUUAUGCAACUUCUAUGCUUUUUGUGAGGCCUCAUUUUUGUGAACUUUUCUUGUUUUGGUCUUCUGGCUGGAUAAAUACAAGCUGAGUGAAUCCUGAUGUCAUGGAAGCUCUUAAAACUUGCUUUGCCUCAACAGUUACAAGCAAAGCUUUUUCUCUCGAUCCUGUUCGGUUGCAGGAGUUGAUAUUUUCUUUCAUGUUGUUUUUUCCCCACUGUUGGAAGAUGAAACAGAACUCCUCAAUGACUCAAACCUUUGCACCUUGUAGAAUAGCACUUCUAAAGAUAGAGCUGACCUAAGAAUUGAGAUCCAAUCUCAAUUUUAAAUACCUUUUCCCACCUACUACUCUUUCCAGCUCCACACCUAAAUCUGGAGUGAUUAUUCUAGCAAUUUGAAUCAGCUCCCUUACAGAGAGAGAGAGAUUUUAAUCUAAUUGAAAAUUGGUUCAAAACAUGGAUGAACACCAUUUAAAUCUUUAGAAUUCAGGGAGCAUAAGAGUAAAGCUGGCUGCAAGCAAAAUACAAAGGCAAGUAGUCCGGACCCCAUCCAGAUCCAGCAAGUCUCCAUUUCUAGCAUCUGUAAGUGCUUGGAUCUGUUGGGUUUGGAUGAGGUUUGUCUCUGUCAGUGCUAAAUCAAAAAAUUGUUGCCUAUAUUGGCUUCAGCUCAAAUACCUCCCAGUCUUCUGCUUUUAAAGAGGGGAGAGUCCCCCUUUGGCCAGCCUUGUGUGCACCGCUGAGUUCUGCUGGAUCUCUGUGUGUGCACAAGCAGUACCUGAUUAUUGUUGGAGAGCUGAGGAGAAGGCCAGAAGAAAAAUUCCACCCUCCAUGCCCUUCUCCUCCUCUCUCCCUGUCCCAGAGCUCCACUUUUGUGGUCCUCAACACCAGUGCAGAGGGUUCUGUUCCUGGAAAGGAAGCGGGGUACCUCAACUUCCCUAAAGGACCAUUAGAAAACUGUAAUUUCAAAAUGAGUUUCCUGUCCAAGGAAGAGGGCUUAGCACUUACAAGAACAGUUCUCCACUGUACAAGGCAGACAUUUCAGUUUUAUGAGGAACAAAUAAAACAUUCCUCUGUGCUUUACAGGCAUAACACUUUCUUAGACUCUUUAGUUACAAAAUGACCUGUCUGCAUAGUUAUGCUGAUCAGUCGCAGAGAAUAACACGGCCAAACUGUUUAGCAGUGCCUGAUGCAGUAAAGGAGCAGAGGUGGGGGAAGCAGAGGCAAACCAAAGUAGUCUGCUGCUUGCAGCAAAUCCUUCCCAUGCUUUUUAGCCAUUAAUAAUGUCUGAGAUACAAACAAAACAACUCCUGAUGUAGAGAGGUGGAGAUAGAGAGUCCUCCUGAGGUCAGUGGGGAUGCACAGGGUGUACCCGCUUGUCUGUUGGAACGUGAAUCAGGUCUUCUGUCACACGUGGUUGUGUGCAGUGCUGAAUGCAAGCUAAACCACACGUGCAAGCUGUGGCUUCUGAGAAGUAUGUGAAAAGGAUUAUGCAAGCUUAAUUCAGUUCUUUGGAGGUGUGGAAAGCAUGGUCAAGUUGACCUUACCCUGCUAAUCCUGCUUUAAAAAGAAAUUAAAGCAAUUGUCAGAAUGAAAUGUUGAGUAUUGGGAGGGUUUGGACUUAAUAUUCUAUCUCAUCCUGUAAUAAAGUUAAUUGUGCUCUUUGAAGAACAUAAAACUAGUGAAAGCCUACCAAAAUCCUUGAUCAAGUUUAAGUGUAGAACAUCCAGAAGCAGCUGUCAUAACUAGCUUAUUAUGGGGUUUAGGAUGAAAAAUAAUUGGGGAAUCAUAUUAAACUUGGGCUAAUGAGAAGCCAUAGUCUGUGCUAUAUAGUAUUAAGAUUUACUAUGUGUAAUGGUAAAGGUAUGUGGUCAUGUGGCCUUUGAUUUUUAGUCUUUUUCAUUUCCAGAUUAAUGUCUUAUUUCAGUUCCAUUUGCCUCUACCACAAGCUUAUGGGAGAGCUUUCAUGGUACAGUCAGUUGUUAAAGGUGAAAUCAAUCUCAUAGCUUAUUCGAAUGUGAAAUUUUAAUAUAUUAGUGUGUAAUAGAUGUAAAAAAGAAGGGUUUGGGUUUUUUCUCCCUUUUUCUUCAAACACCACCAGGUUUGCAAGAGGAAAUGCACCAAAAGCAAUAGUGGAACACAGUCUGUACAGAAGGAGAUGAAAGGUUAGGUAUAAUGGAGACAGCAGUAGCACAUAAUUGCAGUCGGAUAAACAUGUUAUGUCACUUCUUGAAUUGUUCCCUGGCUUGUAAUUAAUAGCAUUCUUUGCCUAAGGCUUGUUGAGUAGAAGACAGAUAAGUUAGCAGGUAAUGCCGCAGCCUUUUGCUUCAUAGAUCCUUGCAGGGGAACAAGUUAAUCUUUCCUAAUUCUAAUAAAAGCCAUCCUAUGCCGAGCUGUUAAAUGUGUUUUGUCAGAACUGGAGAUUUCUUCUAAGGGAUAAUUUACUAGCAGCAAACAAACAUGAUUCAUCAAUUACUUCUUCUGGACAGAAAGUUCUUCUCAGAGGAAAAAACAAAAUCAUUGUAGUGUAGCAGCAGAGUUUGUAUUUUUAGUGUCCUAACUUGGAUGUGUGUUUGUAUGCUUCCAUAAUGCUAAAAUGAGAAACUGGGAACAGCAUCUUUUCCAGUGAUAAAAAAGUAGAAGUGAUGCAAGCCAGAACUCACGUUUAUGACAGGUUUGAGGAGAAAAAACCUAUAGCAUUUGUACAUCUAGAACUCUGUCACCUGACAGGAGAGGGAUCCUGGGAGAUGAACACAGAGUAGCCUUGAGAACAACACUGUGAAGUCAAGAAUUUAGGGGAACUGCUUUAAAAGGACAAAAAAGUAAAUACAACUUAGAACACAGGACUUGGAAUGUGCAUUCACCCUUCAGGGAUUAGGCAUACAAAAAG
Strigops habroptila (Kakapo) is the source of this 4146-nucleotide long non-coding RNA. RefSeq lists it as uncharacterized. The transcript is spliced from 3 exons. NCBI's taxonomy places the organism in Eukaryota, Metazoa, Chordata, Aves, Psittaciformes, Psittacidae. The record is from RefSeq and is a predicted model, not a curated record.